GCAUUGGUGAUGGAAAUAAAUUUGUUGCAAUGAAUUACAAUUCAUAAACAAACGUUUCCUGAUGUGGUAAAAUGGUUUUACCAAGUUUUCUUCCUUAUAGUCAACGAUGCUAAGCAAAAUGAAAACAAGCCCAUCAGAUUAAGGAAGUCCAAUCCUACUCAUUGUUCCUUAUUGUAGAUAGUGUUGUAAGUACAUUUUCCACAUGUAUGUAAAUAGUAUGGCAUAUCAUAUAUACAUUUAAAACUUUCUACA
Pyrus x bretschneideri (Chinese white pear) is the source of this 252-nucleotide long non-coding RNA. RefSeq lists it as uncharacterized. Lineage: Eukaryota; Viridiplantae; Streptophyta; Magnoliopsida; Rosales; Rosaceae. The record is from RefSeq and is a predicted model, not a curated record. The transcript is spliced from 2 exons.